GACCUGAGAGGGUGAUCGGCCAC
RNAcentral lists this microRNA (23 nucleotides) under Mus musculus (house mouse). RNAcentral describes it as "microRNA miR-L-28". Lineage: Eukaryota; Metazoa; Chordata; Mammalia; Rodentia; Muridae. The record is from RNAcentral.